Molecule: ribosomal RNA, 414 nt
Filed under: uncultured microorganism
Description: bacterial SSU rRNA
Rfam family: Archaeal small subunit ribosomal RNA
Source: RNAcentral
CAGCAGCCGCGGUAAUACCGGCGGCCCGAGUGGCGGUCACUAUUAUUGGGCUUAAAACGUCCGUAGCCGGGUUGGGAAGUCCUCCGGGAAAUCUGGCCGCUUAACGGUCAGAAUGCCGGAGGAUACUCCCAGCCUAGGGAGCGGGAGAGGCCGAGGGGAUUCCCGGGGUAGGGGUGAAAUCCUAUAAUCCCGGGAGGACCACCUGUGGCGAAGGCGCUCGGCUGGAACGCGUCCGACGGUGAGGGACGAAGGCCAGGGGAGCAAACCGGAUUAGAUACCCGGGUAGUCCUGGCUGUAAACGAUGCGGACUUUGUGUCGGACAAGCUAUGAGCUUGUCCGGUGCCGGAGGGAAACCGUUAAGUCCGCCGCCUGGGGAGUACGGCCGCAAGGCUGAAACUUAAAGGAAUUGGCGAG